RNAcentral lists this ribosomal RNA (440 nucleotides) under uncultured bacterium. Its description in RNAcentral is "partial 16S ribosomal RNA". It matches the Rfam family "Bacterial small subunit ribosomal RNA", at positions 338 to 795 of the family's 1533-position model. The record is from RNAcentral.
CCUACGGGAGGCAGCAGUGGGGAAUAUUGCACAAUGGGGGAAACCCUGAUGCAGCGACGCCGCGUGAGUGAAGAAGUAAUUCGUUAUGUAAAGCUCUAUCAGCAGGGAAGAAAAUGACGGUACCUGAGUAAGAAGCCCCGGCUAACUACGUGCCAGCAGCCGCGGUAAUACGUAGGGGGCAAGCGUUAUCCGGAUUUACUGGGUGUAAAGGGGGCGCAGACGGCAGCGCAAGCCAGGAGUGAAAGCCCGGGGCCCAACCCCGGGACUGCUCUUGGAACUGCGCGGCUGGAGUGCAGGAGGGGCAGGCGGAAUUCCUGGUGUAGCGGUGAAAUGCGUAGAUAUCACACAGAACACCGAUUGCGAAGGCAUCUCACGAAUCCGCGAUUGACGCUGAUGCACGAAAGCGUGGGUAUCAAACAGGAUUAGAUACCCGGGUAGUC